Molecule: long non-coding RNA, 2878 nt
Organism: Ornithorhynchus anatinus (platypus)
Lineage: Eukaryota; Metazoa; Chordata; Mammalia; Monotremata; Ornithorhynchidae
Exons: 8
Source: RefSeq, a predicted model, not a curated record
CCCGUCCUUCUGACUCCCAGCCCCCUGCUCUCUCCACUAAGUCAUGCUGCUUCUCACUAAGCUAUGGUUCUUUGGUACUUUAAAGUGAAGAUGGGUUUAAUUAUUGCUUCCCCCACCCUCCCAUCAAGUGUAAUUCUCAGCAGAAGGAGGUUGCUAAGAUGACACAGAGCCAUAAAGAGAAAUACAUUGGGUCAGAGGGCUUAAUGUUCCUCUUGCUGACAGUGGAUAGAAUUUCUGUUGCUCUCUGACCUGACAGAUGAUAGCAGAAUCCUAAGGUUUUCCCCAUGUCGCUUUCUCAGUGUCAUGACCUCUGAAUACUAUAGAGUUGAUGUAUUUGGGACCACUGAGAUUUUUUCUGUUUUAUAUUUAAAUUGCAUUUUCCCAGUGUUCUUCUGUUGGGGGCUUUCUAUUCUGACUUAGAUUGUGACCCCCCCCCCGUGAGUCGGGAAUCAUCUCGCAACUGAGGACUGAUCCGACCCCAGUCCUCUGUUUUGAAAUCAAAUACGUGAAACUGAUCCCUUACUACUUGUCUAACCAAGUAAACACAUCUGAUUUAAAGCAAUUAAGAAAUUGCAAAUUGGCAAAUGAAAAUGCACCCUAGAGAAAUAAGAAUAUUGGUUCAAUUAAACAUGCGACAUUACUAAUGUGUGUCAAAACCUAGAAUAGAAAGAAACAGUAUCCCAUGGUCCAGGGAGGGUGAGAUACAGACUAUUUUUCAAGAACAGUGCUUCAAGCCUUCUUUAUCACUUGGGUUAUUCUGUUCUACAGAAACCCUUACAUAUUCAGUUCAAAAUUCUCCCUAGAAGGUGAUUAAAUAAUGCUUUUCUUGGCUUAGUGGCAGAUUAGAAAUCCCGUAUAGAAUAGCUUUAUUUCCAACACUCACCUCUGCGUACAUAACCAAGCAGUUUUGCAAAUCUGAAAAAGAAUGCUGUUUCAAUAACGGACUAAUUUCAAAAGGUGUUUCCAUAGGGACCAUAUGUAACAGCCAGUUUGAAGACACACGUUUUAAUUUAAACAUAUUUUUUACAGUCCUUUAUCUUGAUUUCCAGCUGCUUGUUGAUUUAGUUUCCAAAAAUCCGUAGGCCUGAUUUAUUUUAUUUUUUCCCCCUCUCGUGUUCUGAAUUUGGCUUUAGUUUUCAGCUUGGCCCUUGCUCCAGUGGAGAGAGUACAAUGUUUGGAACAGCUUGUAGGACACUGACUUGAAACCUCCACCAAUCCUGGAAAUUGGUUGAAUAUAUUUAAGCAGAGUACUGGGCUUUGGGCCGGGGAACUAAGCCAGAAAAUAAAACUGUUAUCACCUGAGUGUGGAUUUUUAAAAAGAAUUUCAGCGAGCAUAAGGGGAAAAAUAUUCCUCUUUCUGAAGAAUACCUCAUUAGUAUCUUACCCUCUGUAAACAGAAUGGACAGAAAUAGGAAGAUACAAAAUCUUCUUAACCCGAGGUGAUGUUUUUUCUUUAUUAUAAACAGAUUAGUUUCAAGCUGGUCUUGUAAGAGGGAAAAAGAAAGAGAAAAGGAAGAAAUGAACACCUAUGGGCUGUGACAAGAUCAAUUUGGAGGCAACUGGAAAGUGGCAUGCAGACACACUUUUAAGAUUCGAAAGAAUCUUGUUCUAAUUAGAAAAACAAAACUACCCGCUCAUUAAUGGUGAGCACACCAUAACCGAUUUGGUGGAUUCCUCAUGCGACACAGUGGUGACUCAGAAGCGAGCUAACCCCAAGAACGGGUCGUCACCCAGAAAACCAACAAUGCUCACUGAAUUGCUACUGUUGCCAGAGAACAAGAAUGCCGCAGAUUCCAACUCCACCAUCACGAAUGAUCAGUGAACCCCACGGGGUUCUGAUGCUCCCUGAGGGCUUCCAGGGGCAGUUCUUUCUUGAUCUCACUUCUUCUCCACCAGACCUGGAUCCUCUAGGAACCUUGGCGGCAGUCCCUGAAACUCUAAUUAUCCCUAAGCUGGGGUCUCCAGAACAGAAAGCAGCGAUGAAAGUAGACCAUUUAACCUAGACGACUGUUGCAUGGGGAGCCGGCCAGGCUGGGGCCCGUCUGCCCGCCUAAGACCCCUUAAUGAAAACGGCUUAAAUGGAGAGCGGCCUUGCUGUGUUCGAUGACAUCCAAUGGCUUCAAGAUCAUUGACUCUUUGAAGAUGUUGGCUUUUUCCUCCAGCUGCUUCUCCCUGGGAAGUGCCGCAGCUGGGCCCGAGGUUCUGCUUUAAUUAAGAGUGGGAGGAGAACCCCCAAGUGUGUUUGUGAUUUUUACUGUUCAUCCGAGUCGGGUGGAGAAGUCUGCUGACACGGGACAACUUAGACGAUCCAGAUGGAAGGAGGAUCAUGAAGAGAUUUGGAAUCAUCAGGAUGUAGGACAAGUCGGGAAGUUUUUAAUGCAAAUGACACACUCCAGGGGACUCUCCAGAAGAUGUUGACUAAUUUAACUCAGUUGCUAAUAAGAGAAUGGGUGCAUCUGUGACCAUAGCUAAAUGGAGCCGACUUAAUUACGACGUUGGACGACACUGCAUCAUAUUGACAAAAGCAGAGAGGAGGAGGAAGGGACCAGGAGGCAGCAAAGGAGCCGGAACGAGAAAAAUGAUGGAUCUUCAGCACUGAAUUUGUCAGACAAAUGGGAGCGCCAUUAACUCGUCGCAGAGUUAACGAGAAUUAGAAAGCCAAGCCAGAGUACUAUAGCAAUGAGAAGAGCGAAGAGGCAAGAAGUUGAGUGGUAUUUCAUUAAGUCGCCAAAAGAAAUGGCAAUGUCAACUGCGUCUCCAGCAGACAAACAAAUUAGCUGCAUCUGCAGAAGCAGAAGGAGACCCUAUAUAUUCAGCGGCGAUGGAUAUUGCUGAGGAAGAGAGAUAUGUGCUAUUUCUAUUAAACUUUUAAAAAUCA